Molecule: ribosomal RNA, 467 nt
Filed under: uncultured bacterium
Lineage: Bacteria
Description: bacterial SSU rRNA
Rfam family: Bacterial small subunit ribosomal RNA
Source: RNAcentral
ACGAACGCUGGCGGCGUGCCUAACACAUGCAAGUCGAACGAGAAAGUUCCUUCGGGAGCGAGUAAAGUGGCGCAAGGGUGAGUAACACGUGAAUAAUCUGCCCCCAAACCCGGGAUAACUUGGCGAAAGCCGAGCUAAUACUGGAUAAGACCACGUUUCAUAAGAGACGCGGUAAAAGGAGUCAAAAGCUUUGUUUGGGGAUGAGUUCGCGGACCAUUAGCUAGUUGGUGAGAUAACAGCCCACCAAGGCAAUGAUGGUUAGCCGGCCUGAGAGGGUGAUCGGCCACACUGGAACUGAGACACGGUCCAGACUCCUACGGGAGGCAGCAGUGGGGAAUUUUGCGCAAUGGGCGAAAGCCUGACGCAGCAACGCCGCGUGAGCGAUGAAGGCCUUCGGGUUGUAAAGCUCUGUCGAGUGGGAAGAACAAAAUGACGGUACCACUAAAGGAAGCCCCGGCUAACUCCGU